AUGAACGCUGGCGGCGUGCCUAAUACAUGCAAGUCGAGCGAACAGACGAGGAGCUUGCUCCUCUGACGUUAGCGGCGGACGGGUGAGUAACACGUGGAUAACCUACCUAUAAGACUGGGAUAACUUCGGGAAACCGAAGCUAAUACCGGAUAAUAUAUUGAACCGCAUGGUUCAAUAGUGAAAGACGGUUUUGCUGUCACUUAUAGAUGGAUCCGCGCCGCAUUAGCUAGUUGGUAAGGUAACGGCUUACCAAGGCAACGAUGCGUAGCCGACCUGAGGGGGUGAUCGGCCACACUGGAACUGAGACACGGUCCAGACUCCUACGGGAGGCAGCAGUAGGGAAUCUUCCGCAAUGGGCGAAAGCUUGACGGAGCAACGCCGCGUGAGUGAUGAAGGUCUUCGGAUCGUAAAACUCUGUUAUUAGGGAAGAACAAAUGUGUAAGUAACUAUGCACGUCUUGACGGUACCUAAUCAGAAAGCCACGGCUAACUACGUG
This 496-nucleotide ribosomal RNA is filed under the name uncultured bacterium. RNAcentral's name for it is "partial 16S ribosomal RNA". It matches the Rfam family "Bacterial small subunit ribosomal RNA", at positions 29 to 507 of the family's 1533-position model. The record is from RNAcentral.